Hyla sarda is the source of this 504-nucleotide non-coding RNA. The record is from the annotation of a RefSeq genome assembly. Lineage: Eukaryota; Metazoa; Chordata; Amphibia; Anura; Hylidae.
AGAACCUGAACUGAGGAUCACUGACUGCUCACACCAGACAUGAAGAAUUUCCUGUGGUUCCUCUGUAUUGGAUUGUCCCUACAAGAUGUCACUUCACAAAUCUCCUUAGUGGAGUCUGGUCCUAGGACUUUGAGACCAUCGGAGACUCUGGCCAUGACCUGUAAAGUGACUGGAGCCUCCCUGACUGACAGCAGUAAAAUAUAUUCUAUAGAAUGGGUCAGACAACCUGCAGGAAAAGGUCUGGAGUGGUUGGGGAGAAUAAUCCAUCAAAAUGACAAAUACUAUGCUCAGUCUCUCCAGGGACGAAUAACUCUCUCAAGAGACACAAAUAAAGGAGAAGUUUAUUUCAAACUCACUGGAGUGAAACCUGAAGAAUCUGGGAAAUAUUAUUGUGCUAAACACAGUGUAACAGAUGAACUGAGGACAUGUACAUUAUCUGAUUUACUGAAGAGGAAACAAAGAUCAAAUAACCUAAAAAAUAUAAAAAUACAGAGUGGAAUAUGA